ACGGGACGAACGCUGGCGGCGUGCUUAACACAUGCAAGUCGAACGGUGACCCAGGGCUUGCCCUGGUGAUCAGUGGCGAACGGGUGAGUAACACGUGGGCAACCUGCCCCUGACUUCGGGAUAACUCCUCGAAAGAGGAGCUAAUACCGGAUACGACCACUUCGGACAUCCGAUGGUGGUGGAAAGUUUUUCGGUCAGGGGAUGGGCCCGCGGCCUAUCAGCUAGUUGGUGGGGUAAUGGCCUACCAAGGCGACGACGGGUAGCCGGCCUGAGAGGGCGACCGGGCCACACUGGGACUGAGACACGGCCCAGACUCCUACGGGAGGCAGCAGUGGGGAAUAUUGCGCAAUGGGCGAAAGCCUGACGCAGCGACGCCGCGUGAGGGAUGAAGGCCUUCGGGUUGUAAACCUCUUUCAGCAGGGACGAAGCGAAAGUGACGGUACCUGCAGAAGAAGCACCGGCUAACUACGUG
Molecule: ribosomal RNA, 472 nt
Filed under: uncultured bacterium
Lineage: Bacteria
Description: bacterial SSU rRNA
Rfam family: Bacterial small subunit ribosomal RNA
Source: RNAcentral